UACAGAGGGUGCGAGCGUUGUUCGGAAUUACUGGGCGUAAAGCGCGUGUAGGCGGCUCGGCAAGUCGGGUGUGAAAGCCCCGGGCUCAACCUGGGAAGUGCACCCGAAACUGCCGAGCUGGAGUACUGGAGAGGACGGCGGAAUUCUCGGUGUAGAGGUGAAAUUCGUAGAUAUCGAGAGGAACAUCGGUGGCGAAGGCGGCCGUCUGGACAGUUACUGACGCUGAGACGCGAAAGCGUGGGGAGCAAACAGG
This 253-nucleotide ribosomal RNA is filed under the name uncultured bacterium. RNAcentral describes it as "partial 16S ribosomal RNA". It matches the Rfam family "Bacterial small subunit ribosomal RNA", at positions 524 to 776 of the family's 1533-position model. The record is from RNAcentral.